RNAcentral lists this ribosomal RNA (770 nucleotides) under uncultured bacterium. RNAcentral's name for it is "bacterial SSU rRNA". It matches the Rfam family "Bacterial small subunit ribosomal RNA", at positions 29 to 810 of the family's 1533-position model. The record is from RNAcentral.
GUGAUCGCUGGCGGCGUGCUAACACAUGCAAGUCGAACGGAGUAUUAAGAAGUUUUCGGACGGAUUAAUACUUAGUGGCGGACGGGUGAGUAACGCGUGGGUAACCUGCCUCAUACAGGGGGAUAACAGCUGGAAACGGCUGCUAACACCGCAUAGUAUAAGAUGGUCGCAUGACUGACUUAUGAAAUAUUUAUAGGUAUGAGAUGGGCCCGCGUCUGAUUAGCUAGUUGGUGAGGUAAUGGCUCACCAAGGCGACGAUCAGUAGCCGGCUUGAGAGAGUGACCGGCCACAUUGGGACUGAGACACGGCCCAAACUCCUACGGGAGGCAGCAGUGGGGAAUAUUGCGCAAUGGGGGAAACCCUGACGCAGCAACGCCGCGUGGGUGAUGAAGGUCUUCGGAUUGUAAAGCCCUGUUUUCUGGGACGAUAAUGACGGUACUUGAGGAGGAAGCCCCGGCUAACUACGUGCCAGCAGCCGCGGUAAUACGUAGGGGGCUAGCGUUAUCCGGAUUUACUGGGCGUAAAGGGUGCGUAGGUGGUUUUUUAAGUCAGGAGUGAAAGGCUACGGCUCAACCGUAGUAAGCUCUUGAAACUGGAAAACUUGAGUGCAGGAGAGGAAAGUGGAAUUCCUAGUGUAGCGGUGAAAUGCGUAGAUAUUAGGAGGAACACCAGUAGCGAAGGCGGCUUUCUGGACUGUAACUGACACUGAGGCACGAAAGCGUGGGGAGCAAACAGGAUUAGAUACCCUGGUAGUCCACGCCGUAAACGAU